This 336-nucleotide long non-coding RNA is filed under the name Cyanistes caeruleus (blue tit). RNAcentral describes it as "lncRNA (ENSCCEG00000015860.1)". The record is from RNAcentral. Lineage: Eukaryota; Metazoa; Chordata; Aves; Passeriformes; Paridae.
UCACCAGUUUUGGCUUGCCUCAAAAUAUCUCCCUGCAAUUUGCAAAUGAGAACUCCCAACUCAGCUGCCCACACAUCAAGGCUGAGCUGAUGCUUUGAGGGUGUAAUGUCACCAGUCUGUCUCUUCAAGAAAAUACAAGGCCAGAGUAAUGCUUCAUGGAAUCAGAGGGGAGCUGGAAUGUGUCUAGAGGUCCUCAGGAAUCAGGGGAACCCCUAAGACUGCCAGAAUGGGAGUCAUCCUAUUCAUUCUCAAGUUGCACAUCAGUGUGUAAACUCUUGAAGAUCCGUGGUAACUAAAAAUACUAAGAAAUACUGGUAAGAAAAUUUUAAAUGAACA